GUUCUGCUGUUUGAUCAUUUUAUUCGUACAUGCACAUGCUUUUUAAAGCAAGUUAUGUUACAAUGGGUGUUCCAGGUAUAGCAUGAUUCUUGACUGCGUCGACGUAUAAAACAUAAAACAAUACGAUAACAAAAUAAAGAAAAGUUAUCCAGUAGAGGUUUCACGUUCAAUCAAAGUUGACUCAGAUUAAGUCUUUUUGCUGAAUAAGAUAUAAGACGUCCAAGACAAUUAAACAAGAAUGCCUAAAGAGUUCAGUUCAAACAAAAAAUAUUUACGUUCAAAACUAUGUUAGUAUAAUUAUAAAAUUUAUCUCCAUUGCCUUGAAAUAUAAAUUAAAAUUGUCCUAUUCUAGUUUGAAUAUCCUUUAAAAAGAAUUUAUGUAUCAAUAACAAGUGUCCAAUAACCAAUCGUCUUCAGUGGAAUACAAAGACACGCAUGUUAAAUUUUC
RNAcentral lists this long non-coding RNA (448 nucleotides) under Mytilus galloprovincialis (Mediterranean mussel). Lineage: Eukaryota; Metazoa; Mollusca; Bivalvia; Mytilida; Mytilidae. The record is from RNAcentral.